Molecule: microRNA, 22 nt
Filed under: Homo sapiens (human)
Lineage: Eukaryota; Metazoa; Chordata; Mammalia; Primates; Hominidae
Description: hsa-miR-6846-5p
Source: miRBase by way of RNAcentral
UGGGGGCUGGAUGGGGUAGAGU